GGGGAUGUAGCUCACUUGGCUAGAGCGCUUGGCUGGCAGCCAAGAGGUAGUGGGUUCGAAUCCCAUCUUCUCCACCA
Molecule: transfer RNA, 77 nt
Filed under: Flavobacterium sp. WW92
Lineage: Bacteria; Pseudomonadati; Bacteroidota; Flavobacteriia; Flavobacteriales; Flavobacteriaceae
Also listed under: 1 other name
Description: tRNA-Ala
Rfam family: tRNA
About the family: Transfer RNA (tRNA) molecules are approximately 80 nucleotides in length. Their secondary structure includes four short double-helical elements and three loops (D, anti-codon, and T loops).
Source: RNAcentral